AGGAUGAACGCUGGCGGCGUGCCUAACACAUGCAAGUCGAACGUCCUGUCUCGCAAGAGGCAGGGAGUGGCGGACGGGUGAGUACCACGUGGGUCAUCUACCGUGAGGUGAGGAAUACCGGCGAGAAAUCGCCGACAAGACCGCAUAGGCUCGAUGCAAGUCGAGCAAAGCUCUUUCGAGAGAGGGAGCGCCACACGAGGAGCCUGCGCCCGAUUAGCUAGCUGGUGGAGUAACGGUUCACCAGGGCGACGAUCGGUAGCUGGUCUGAGAGGACGAUCAGCCACACUGGGAUUGAGAACGGCCCAGACUCCUACGGGGGGCAGCAGUGAGGAAUUUUCGCAAUGGGGGCAACCCUGAACGAGCAACGCCGCGUGCAGGAGAGGUUUCGGAUCGUAAACUGCUUUUCUCGGGGAAGAGAACGGACGGUACCCGAGGAAUCAGCCCCGGCUAACUACGUGCCAGCAGCCGC
RNAcentral lists this ribosomal RNA (469 nucleotides) under uncultured bacterium. Its description in RNAcentral is "SSU rRNA". It matches the Rfam family "Bacterial small subunit ribosomal RNA", at positions 26 to 518 of the family's 1533-position model. The record is from RNAcentral.